UCCUCAAUAGCUCAGUUGGUAGAGCAACGGACUGUUAAUCCGUUUGUCCUUGGUUCAAGUCCAAGUUGAGGAGCCA
RNAcentral lists this transfer RNA (76 nucleotides) under Colwellia sp. RNAcentral describes it as "tRNA-Asn". It matches the Rfam family "tRNA". From Rfam's summary of the family: Transfer RNA (tRNA) molecules are approximately 80 nucleotides in length. Their secondary structure includes four short double-helical elements and three loops (D, anti-codon, and T loops). Further hydrogen bonds mediate the characteristic L-shaped molecular structure. tRNAs have two regions of fundamental functional importance: the anti-codon, which is responsible for specific mRNA codon recognition, and the 3' end, to which the tRNAs corresponding amino acid is attached (by aminoacyl-tRNA synthetases). tRNAs cope with the degeneracy of the genetic code in two manners: having more than one tRNA (with a specific anti-codon) for a particular amino acid; and 'wobble' base-pairing, i.e. permitting non-standard base-pairing at the 3rd anti-codon position. Lineage: Bacteria; Pseudomonadati; Pseudomonadota; Gammaproteobacteria; Alteromonadales; Colwelliaceae. The record is from RNAcentral. RNAcentral also lists the same sequence under 14 other names.